This 974-nucleotide small RNA is filed under the name Arabidopsis thaliana (thale cress). RNAcentral describes it as "ATSL006500". Lineage: Eukaryota; Viridiplantae; Streptophyta; Magnoliopsida; Brassicales; Brassicaceae. The record is from RNAcentral.
AGAGUGCAUCCAUGAACCUAGACGUGUUAUGCUUUGAAUAUCAGUAAGGAAUCGUUUUUCAAGUAAAGCUAUUAACUUGGAAGAUAAAUCUGUUAGAGUAAAAUUCUUUUAGAGGUAAUGGAGAAAGUGUUUAAGUGUUUUGAGAGAGUUUUUUAGGAAAUAGAACUUUUAUUACUUUGCUUUAAACUUGAAUACAACUUCACAACCUUGCUUUGGAUGAUUUAUACAAGGUAGCCCUCUCACCAUUUCCUUCCUUGAAAGCAACUCCAAUCCUCCAAAAUUUAGAUGUCCGAAUCGAAGAUGCCAUAGCCAAGACUCCUCUUUGUAACACAUCUUAAGACAUUGUGCAAUGUCAUUUCGAAUGUUGAGGACAAACAUUCUAUUUUUCGACAUUGGCACCUUGGUAAUGAGAUUGCUUUCUUGGUCUCUUAUUGAAAGGUUAUUAUCUUUUAAUCUAAUAUCAUAACCUUUCUCUAAGAGUUGUCCAAGGCUCAAGAUGUUUGUCUUCAUGCUCGGAAUAUAGUAACCGUUGGAAAUAAAUUGAUGAUCUCCAUUCUUCAAUCGAAUAAGAAUGUUUCCUUUACCUUUUACCUCCAUCUUCGAUUCAUCUCCUAAAGCCACAUUUCCUCUCACCGAUUCAUCAAGCUCCGCGAACAUACUUUUUCUCCCGCACAUGUGAUUACUUGCACCACUAUCGAGGUACCACUUAUGAUUCUCUUCUUGUUCAUCUUUCUUGUAGCUAGCCAUUAAUAACAUGUCUUCUUCUUGAAUUUUUUCUUCAACGUAGUUGGCCUUCUCCUCAAAUGUUUUGUUGCUAGGAGCUUUACAUUCAGAAGCAUAAUGUCCAAACUUCCCACAAUUGUAGCAAAAUCACCUGGGAUAAGAAUCAGGUGUGAUUGUCAAUAGACUACGAAUGGUUAGUGCUCCAGAUCUGCCAAAUCUCACAAUGAGCAAAGGAAUGCCUCUGCGGCUAC